AUGCAUGCCUCGAGCAAAGCUUUCCGUUCCAUGUGUCGCAACGACUCCCGUGUCUCGUUUCUCCGUCUGCUCCCGGCAGAUCCAGAGAAAGAGAGAGGUCAACUCCUCCCACCCUACCACUACUAUACUACUAGUACAAUUCCGAUCUCUGAUACUUACUCGGAUGCUGCGCGCGUUGGAGCGUUUCCCCGUCCAACAAGCAACUGCGCAAGAACCUUCUGCGCCGCUUCCGCCUGGCGCCGUCUCUGUUGUUUCUAUUUUUCCACGCAGCGGGAGAAAUCGCGGGGACCUGCCGGCGGCCGGCUGGCUGCGCUGUCUCGCCUGACUAAUCAAACCAACGGUCCAGGCGUACCCAGCACCGUCACUGUGAAUGCACGGGGGAGUACUAGUAGGGAGACCAUUCGCUGGGUGGCAUGCACGAGCAGCCAGACUGCUGCCCGGAUCGAGCUGUUCCUGUUCGUGGAUGAGAAUGCAGCAGCCACCCCCGGCGUUAAGGGGGCCAACUGA
Molecule: ribosomal RNA, 507 nt
Filed under: Triticum aestivum (bread wheat)
Lineage: Eukaryota; Viridiplantae; Streptophyta; Magnoliopsida; Poales; Poaceae
Description: partial small subunit ribosomal RNA
Source: RNAcentral